RNAcentral lists this non-coding RNA (79 nucleotides) under unclassified sequences. The record is from RNAcentral.
UAUUGCGCCCGAUGGUGUGGCAAUCGGAAACGACCCAAUGCGCUUGUAGACGCAUAGGACACCUAAUGGGCGCACUUUU